ACCGGGUGUGGGAGGGGGGUGGGGGGUGGGGGUGGGGGGUAUCGGGGAAACUGGGGAAGAUGGGAGAGCUGGAGGAGAGUCGUGGGGUCCGAGGAGCACCUCGGCAUCUGGAGUCUGGCAGGAAUGUUGAAGGACUGAGGGGCUAGCUCAGGCAGAGCAAAGGCAUCGCAAAGGCUGGAAAACAUCGGAGUGAAGCUGAAGGGCCUGAGCUAGGGUUGGAGAGGAAUGGGGAGCCAGACAUUCAUCCCGGUUACUUUUGGUUACAGGACGUGGCGGCUGGUCGGAUAAAGGGGAGCUGCUGGGAAGGGUUCGACCCCAGACCUGGGCAGUGAAGGUAUAGCUGGCAGCAGUGGGCAGGUGAGGACCGCCGUCUGCUGGGCAGGUGAGUCUCCUUCUUCUCUCUUGGCCUCGCUCCACUGACCUUCUAAACGAAGGUUUAGAGAGGGGGCCUGGUGAGAAGAAGCGGCUGGCCUCGCAGCAGAAUGGCACAUAGAAAGGCAGGAUAGUUAGCAAAGGAGACAUCGUCUCGGGGGGAGCCGAGACAGAAGGAGGCUGGGGGACCAUUGGCGACCCCAGGUGGAAAGAGCUCUUAGAGAGAAGAAAGAAGAGGUGCAGGGUUGCCAGUAAAGACUGAGGCCGCUGCCUCCAGGGAGGUGAUAGGAGUCCUUGGAGACAGUGGCAGAGACCAUGGGAUCCAGCAAGAACAGAAGCAUUCUAGGCUGGGGUCAAACAGGGCAAGAUGGGGUCACAAGACACAGAUGGGUCCCCAGCCGCCACAACAUCCCACCCACCGUAAUUCACUUAGAAGAAGGUUCAAGAGUGGCUCUGGCAAAGUCCCAAGUUUGCCAGAGCCUCAAUAACUGGAGAAUGGAAAAGAAGGGCAGUGCAGGGUGUCACCAGAAGGGGAGUGGGGGCUGCAGGUAUCGGACUCCAGAGGGAUUUUACAGCAAGGAGGCUGCAGUGGGUCCAGCCUGCAGACACACCAUUCCCAUGAGGCACUGCGGCCCAGGGACUGGUGCGGAAAGGGCCCACAGUGGACUUGGUACACUGUAUGCCCUAACCGCUCAGUCCCUGGGUCUGGCAUGACAGACAGAACAUUUCCAGGGGAGUCAAGGGCACAGGAUGAAGCCAGACGAGGCGAGGCAGGCGGGGCAGAAUGAAUGAGUUUCUAGGGAGGGAGGUUGGGUGCAGGUAGAGCGAGUAGCUGGGGUGGUGAGCCAGGGAGGCACUGGCCUCCAGAGUCCGUGGCCAAGGAGGGCCUUGCGGGCGGCGACGGAGCAGUGAUCGGUGUCUCGAAGAGCUCGGACUGGAGACUAGGGUCUCCAGCAGAGGUGGAUGUGCCUGCCAGUCACUGAAGGCGAGGAUGACAGGUGUGGUCAAUGUGACAGAAAGACAUGACAUGGUCCGGUGUGAUGGAGAGGACAGAAGGGCAGUCAUCCAGCCUUCUUGAACACCAUGGGCUGGCGCCUUGUCGUAGAAGCCGUCUGUUCUUUCACUUUUCCCAAAGAGCUAACACUUCUCUGCUGCUCUCUGGAUCCUCCUCCCCCUACCUUGAACCCUCAAGAUGAAAGAAAUGGUGCUACCCAGCUCAUGUCUGGGCCUUUGAAUCCGGGGACUUCUUUAAGUCCGUCUCGUUCUGAAUCAAGAAGAUGCUGCAAUCAGAACCACUACACUACCUGCCUCAGGAAUCUGCUCCAAGGUGAAGCUGAAAGAACAGAUGGUGUCAACAUUUUGAAAGAGCAGACUCAUAGCACCCACCCACCCCUGAGAAUCCAUCUUCAUGGCCAACUCUGCCUGACCCGGGAGACCACCACCCACAUCAUCCUGGAGCCAAGCCUCUACCCCGGGAUGACUUCAUCAUCUCCCUCCUGUCUUUUUCUUCUUCCUCCUUUCCUGUAAUUCUGUUUCUUUCCUUUUGUUCCUUCCUUGCUUGAGAGACUCAAAGCACCCGUGACUCUGUUUCCCCAUUUACCCCCUUUUGAAUUUGCACUAAGUCGAUUGCACUGGUUUGGAGUCCCGGAGAUAGCUUUGAGUCUCUCCGUAUGAAUGUAUACAGCGAGUGUGUAAACCUCUUUGGCAAUGCUGCCCCAGUACCCACCUGUCGUCCAUCUCCGUCUGAGGGCAACUGGGUGUGGCCGUGUGCUUGAGGCCUCGCCUUCCCCUCGCCUAGUCUGGAAGCAGUUCCAUCAUAAAGUGUUCAACAUGCCCUACUUCAUCCUUUGCCCCUCCUCACCAGGGCCUCACCAGAGGUCCUGGGUCCAUCAAUAAAUACAGUUACAGUCAU
This 2284-nucleotide long non-coding RNA is filed under the name Mus musculus (house mouse). RNAcentral's name for it is "H19, imprinted maternally expressed transcript, transcript variant 2 (H19)". The stretch from base 1005 to 1076 matches the Rfam family "mir-675 microRNA precursor family". Lineage: Eukaryota; Metazoa; Chordata; Mammalia; Rodentia; Muridae. The record is from RNAcentral.